ACGCUGGCGGCGUGCCUAACACAUGCAAGUCGAGCGAGAAAGCCCGCAAGGGUGAGUAAAGCGGCGCACGGGUGCGUAACACGUGGGUAAUCUGCCCUAGAGUCCGGAAUAACUCGCCGAAAGGCGUGCUAAUGCCGGAUGAGACCACGGGAGCCUCGGCUCCUGGGGGAAAAGGUGGCCUCUGUAUACAAGCUAUCGCUCUAGGAUGAGCCCGCGGCCCAUCAGCUCGUUGGCGGGGUAAUGGCCCACCAAGGCUACGACGGGUAGCUGGUCUGAGAGGACGAUCAGCCACACUGGAACUGAGACACGGUCCAGACUCCUACGGGAGGCAGCAGUGGGGAAUCUUGCGCAAUGGGCGAAAGCCUGACGCAGCAACGCCGCGUGUGUGAUGAAGGUCUUCGGAUCGUAAAGCACUGUCGCGAGGGACGAAUAAGGGGCGGGCUAACAUCCCGUUCCGAUGACGGUACCUCGAGAGGAAGCACCGGCUAACUCUGUGCCAGCAGCCGCGGUAAUACAGAGGGUGCAAGCGUUGUUCGGAAUUAUUGGGCGUAAAGCGCGUGUAGGCGGCCUUGCAAGUUGGGUGUGAAAGCCCUCGGCUUAACCGAGGAAGUGCGCCCAAAACUACGAGGCUUGAGUGCCGGAGAGGGUGGCGGAAUUCCCGGUGUAGAGGUGAAAUUCGUAGAUAUCGGGAGGAACACCAGUGGCGAAGGCGGCCACCUGGACGGUAACUGACGCUGAGACGCGAAAGCGUGGGGAGCAAACAGGAUUAGAUACCCUGGUAGUCCACGCUGUAAACGAUGAGCGCUAGGUGUUGUGGGUGUUGACCCCCGCAGUGCCGCAGCUAACGCAUUAAGCGCUCCGCCUGGGA
Molecule: ribosomal RNA, 868 nt
Filed under: uncultured bacterium
Lineage: Bacteria
Description: bacterial SSU rRNA
Rfam family: Bacterial small subunit ribosomal RNA
Source: RNAcentral